AAGCAUUAGAAUUGGUAUGUUUUGGUUUUUUACUUUUAACUCAAGUAUAGCAAGUUUUUAGGUAGUGCUCGUUGAAAGAAUUUACUGGAUUUGAAAGAGUGAGGGAAAGAAAACUUGUCAAAACCAUUUCUUCCAUGCAUGGCUGAGCUCGUCAAUAAAAACCCCAAACACCUUAUUUCCCCUUUCUCUGUCUCCAGCUUUCUUACCAGAGCUGCGCAGAAGAACAAUGAUGAGUGAAUAAAAGGGUACGUGCGAAACUUCAAACAUAGCAACUAUUUGUGCUUUGUUUUAACCAAGCAGCGUUGGAGAAAUAAAAUGAGCUCAAUCGUUCAUUGCCGCCUUAAGGAAGCAUCCGGUUAUCUGUUAGCUUCACCGUAGAAUAGGACAGUAGACAAGUGACAGAUAAGCUUUUUUGAAACUGCAGGUGGACAUGCCUUUCAAAGCUGUAGUGUCCGAGUUUGU
Molecule: long non-coding RNA, 462 nt
Organism: Strigops habroptila (Kakapo)
Lineage: Eukaryota; Metazoa; Chordata; Aves; Psittaciformes; Psittacidae
Exons: 2
Source: RefSeq, a predicted model, not a curated record